GACGAACGCUGGCGGCGUGCUUAACACAUGCAAGUCGAACGGAAAGGCCCUGCUUUUGUGGGGUGCUCGAGUGGCGAACGGGUGAGUAACACGUGAGUAACCUGCCCUUGACUUUGGGAUAACUUCAGGAAACUGGGGCUAAUACCGGAUAGGAGCUCCUGCUGCAUGGUGGGGGUUGGAAAGUUUCGGCGGUUGGGGAUGGACUCGCGGCUUAUCAGCUUGUUGGUGGGGUAGUGGCUUACCAAGGCUUUGACGGGUAGCCGGCCUGAGAAGGUGACCGGCCACAUUGGGACUGAGAUACGGCCCAGACUCCUACGGGAGGCAGCAGUGGGGAAUAUUGCACAAUGGGCGGAAGCCUGAUGCAGCAACGCCGCGUGCGGGAUGACGGCCUUCGGGUUGUAAACCGCCUUCGCCUGUGACGAAGCGUGAGUGACGGUAAUGGGUAAAGAAGCACCGGCUAACUACGUG
Molecule: ribosomal RNA, 468 nt
Filed under: uncultured bacterium
Lineage: Bacteria
Description: partial 16S ribosomal RNA
Rfam family: Bacterial small subunit ribosomal RNA
Source: RNAcentral